GACGAACGCUGGCGGCGUGCUUAACACAUGCAAGUCGAACGGGAUAAUUUGAGAGCUUGCUCUUAGAGAAUCUAGUGGCAAACGGGUGAGUAACACGUAGACAACCUGCCGACAGGAUGGGGACAACAUUCCGAAAGGAAUGCUAAUACCGAAUGAAGCGGAGGAGAGGCAUCUCUCCUCCGUGAAAGAUGGCCUCUGAAUAUGCCAUCACCUGUCGAUGGGUCUGCGUCUGAUUAGCUAGUUGGUGAGGUAACGGCUCACCCAGGCGACGAUCAGUAGCCGGGCUGGGAGGAUGAACGGCCACAUUGGGACUGAGACACGGCCCAGACUCCUACGGGAGGGAGCAGUGGGGAAUCUUCCGCAAUGGGCGCAAGCCUGACGGAGCAACGCCGCGUGAGUGAAGAAGGUCUUCGGAUCGUAAAGCUCUGUUGACGGGGACGAACGUGCGAAGGGUGAAUAAUCCUUUGUAAUGACGGUACCUGUCGAGGAAGCCACGGCUAACUACGUG
This 508-nucleotide ribosomal RNA is filed under the name uncultured bacterium. RNAcentral's name for it is "partial 16S ribosomal RNA". It matches the Rfam family "Bacterial small subunit ribosomal RNA", at positions 28 to 507 of the family's 1533-position model. The record is from RNAcentral.